Long non-coding RNA from Orcinus orca (killer whale), 6519 nucleotides. RefSeq lists it as uncharacterized. The record is from RefSeq and is a predicted model, not a curated record. The transcript has 2 exons. Lineage: Eukaryota; Metazoa; Chordata; Mammalia; Artiodactyla; Delphinidae.
UGUGAUCAUUUCAGUUUGUUGUACCAAACUAUUGAAUCCUCUAGUUUAAUUUUUUUUUAUUACGAAAAAUUGAAAACCUGUCCAAAUCUGGAGAGAACAAUAUAAUGAUUCCACAAGUACCUAACACUCAGCUUUAACACUUAUCAUCUCAUGUCUUCCUAUUCUUUGUUUUUGACUUUCUAUUUCAAAAUAACUUUAGACUUUCAGAAGUUUGCAAAAAAUAGUAGUAGUUUCUGUACGCCUGUCACCCAGCCACCUCGUGUUGACAUCUUACAUAACUGUGGUGCGGUUAGUGAGAGCAAGAAAUUAUCAUGACAUACUACUAUUAACUAAUCUUCAGAACUUAUUUGAGUGUGUUGGAAGGUCCCCAAGAUGAACUUCAGGUUCAGUGACUUGCCUGAAGUACUCACAGAACUCAGAAAAGCUGAUACACUCAUGAUCAUGGUUUUAUCACUGCGAAAGGAUACAGAUUAGAAUCAGCAAAGGAAAAGACAUAGAAGGUGGAGUCCAGGAGAGACCAGGCGCGACCUUCCAGUUGUCCGUCCUCUCCCAGUGGAGUUGUAUGGACAGCAUUUAAUUCUCCCUGUGUGGCAACAUGCACACUGUACCUAUAACCAGGGAAGCCCACCCCAGCCUUGGCGUCCAGGGUUAUAGGGCGUGAGUCAUAGAGCCCUGGGAUGCUGGUGUGGCUGACCUUAGUUACUCAGUCUCCAGCCGCUCCAGAAGCCACACUGAUACAGCAUGACCCGUGACCCCACGUACGUCACAUUGUUGGUGUAAACUGCCUGGCGUGGCCCAAGGGCCCAGGUGGACAGAGGUACUCUUUUCAGGCAGGAUAUUCUAAGAGUUUAGAGGUUAGCUCCCAGGAGCUAUCAAGGGCCAGUGCUUUCUUUGGAACGUGCAGGGUUUGAAAUCCUGCAGAGUUAGUCAUUCACUGCACAUUGAGCUUUGCCAGUUUUCCCACUAAUAUCUUUUUCCUGGUUCAGGAUCCAUUCCAGGAUCCCACACUGCAUUUAAUUGUCCUGUCUCCUCCAAUUGGUACGGUUCCUCAGUCUUUCUGUGUCUUUAUGACCUUGAUACUUUGAGGAGUACUGGUGAGGUGUUUUUUUUCAGAAUGUCCGUCAAUUUAGGUUGGGGUGUGAGAAGGUAUGGGCGACACCUCCCCCACAAAAGGGACUGGGAGAAGAGCAGAGUGUCUUGGGGUGGCCAGCCAUGAGGGAGGGGUGGAUGCCAGACAAGCUUAGGGACUAAGAGAAGUAAAUGAGUGGAAAUAGAGCUUGGAGGGGUCCGCAGUGACAGAUAUGACAGAAUGAAACUACCAAGGAAAGGGAAAACAAUAAUUAACUUUUACUGAGUGCUGGCCAUGUGCCUGUGCCUAACAAAUAUUUUAUAUUUGUUAAUUCAGCCCUCUUAACAGUCUGUAAGGCUGGUACUACUGGAACCUUCGUUUAACAGAUGAGAAACUCAGAGAUGUUAAGUAACUUUUCGAAGGUCACCCAUCUGGUGAGUGGCAGAGCCAGAUCCCCUACCCAACCCCCAAGUCUAAAGUCUGCCUGACUUUGUGGCCUGGGCUCUUAACAGCCAUGCUGUGCUACCUGUCACGAUAUCCUAACAAGGGGAGAGAGAGGUGGGGAGAGGGAACUUUCAUCCCUUGAAAUGUGCCAGGCCCUGGGCUAGGUGCUCUGUGUCUGUUCUCUCAUGUUCCAGGACCUACCAGGCAUAUAGUAGGUGCUUAAUGCGUGUUUCUCUCCUUCCUGCUCCUUCCCUGAGCUUCCUGGGCCAAGAGCAGGCACGUGGACUCCUGUGUCCCAUUUGGCCACUGGCUUCUCUCAAAGCCGUGAAUGUCCCUGGGGCCCACUCUGCCUUACCAGAUUGGCUUGGGCCGGGCCACCUGCUGGCAGAGAAGGAGGAAGGAGGAAAGUGGCUGGCCAUUUGGCCUCAGCAGGCUUGCAGAAUAUUUCCGGCAACAGAUGGGAAGGCUUGAAUGUGGGUGCUUUGCAAAACUUUCUCCUGAGCCUCCAUCAGCAAAUGCUGAUGUGCCAAUAUAAACGCGCAGGCUCCAGCCAGGUGGAUGUGAGUUCACAUCUCGCUUUUGCCACCUGCUGGCUGUGUGCUUUUGGGCAGUAGCUUUGCCUCUUUAAACCUCAGGUGCUCCAUCUGUAAAAUGGAGGUAAUGACAGUCCUGGGGGCUGAAACGAGAGAAUUCAUACAAAGUGUUUAGGCCAGUCCCUGGCACAGACACUAAAUGUUCAGUAAGAGCAGAUAUCAUUACCUAUGUCACGGAUGUGGAAACUGUCGUUCAGCAAGUUGCCCAGACUUGUGACAAGGAGCGAUCGGCAGAGGUGGGGCUUGAAUCCAGAUCCAGGCACAGAAUUAACUCUUUACAGGGAAAGCCUGGGACUGACCUUGCAGGGGGAAAUGAACAGUUUAGUUCAGGCACACAAAAGCGUGAGCUAGCUGCCUUGGUCCCAUGGGAAGCCCUUCCUUGGAGCGGGGAACCCCAGCUAGCUUAGCUGUUGCCAGGCAGCCCAGGAGAGCUGCCAGGGUCCCUCCCUGGGCAAUCCUGCUCAUCUCUCUUUGCAGGUCCUUUCUGGGAAGUGGAUGGGCACACUUAAUGAGAGGGCCAGAUUUGGAAAACAAGCCCAGCCCCGUGUCCUCUCUGGGCGAGUGCCAGCCGAUCAUCAACUCAAAUAACUGUGAUGGGCUGAGAUGAGGACAGCAACCGCUGGGAUGGAGGGGCGCUGUUCUCAUGAGGCCCAGCAAAAGGGGGCACUGUAAAACAAGGCCCUGGUGGGAGCAGCGUGGUUGGGUUUGAUGGGUCUUUGGGAGCAAUGGAACAUCAAAUGGUUUAGGCCACUGCUCAGCCGCAGGUACAGUUCUGCAAGGGGGCAGGCUGUGAUGGUAGAUUUUUUAAAUUAAUUAAUUUAUUUUUGGUUGCGUUGGGUCUUCGGUGCUGCAUGCUUUCUCUAGUUGUGGUGAGCAGGGGCUACUCUUCGCUGUGGCGCACGGGCUUCAGUAGUUGUGGCACACGGGCUCUGUAGUUGUGGCUUGUGGGCUCUAGAGCGCAGGCUCAGUAGUUGCGGCGCGUGGGCUUUGUUGCUCCGCGGCAUGUGCGAUCUUCCUGGACCAGGGCUUGAACCCGUGUCCCCUGCAUUGGCAGGCGGAUUCUUAACCACUGUGCCACCAGGGAAGUCCCCGUGAUGGUAGAUCUUAACCCGUUGGUUGGCCCCAGAGACUGGUUGGCUUUGGGGGUGGGGGUAUGAUAUUGGGGAUGGGGCCAUGUCUAUAGUGUGUAGAUAUUCCUCACCCCAGGACUCAUGUCAGUCUAUGAUGGCCUGCAUCUAUGUUUAUGUUAGCCAAAUCUCUCAAGUUCAGAUGGACAAAAGGAAGGUGAGAUAUGUUCCUGACUCUUGUGUCAAAAGGUUAGGAUGGCAUAGGGACCCCCUAGGAGCCCUUUCUAAGAGCACAGCCUGGCUCUGGUGGGAAAAAUGUAGGCUUUGCCGACAGAUGGCUCUGUGUGAAUCUCAUCUCUCCCCAGGAAUUGUUUUGUGACUUCUGGCAAGUCCUUUAGUUUACCCGAGCCUUGGUUUCUUCAUUUGCAAAAUGGGGAGGAUGAUACCAAAUUGUUAUGAGUGGUGACAUUGCUGGCUCUCCAUAAAUGCAGUGAUCAUUACUGAUACCCAUUCACAACUUUUUUGAACACCUACUAUGUGCAGAGUCCGUCCUGGCUGGGAGUGGUAAAGAUCAGCAGAGUCAGAAGGGGUCCCUCUUUUCAUGAGGCUUGGAAUUUGGAUAAUCUCAAGUGUGGUGAGGUUGGCUUGCAAAAGCUCCCUUGGAGCACACACUGCAGAACCAGGGAGGGAGUGUCCCUUCUCCUGAGUUCUUCUGUCUCUCUCCCAGGUUUUGUAUUUAGUGCUGGUUUGCCUUUGAAGAGGGUGUCUCCACCCCCAGACCAGGACUUGUGGUCUGCUGAGUGUGAGAGUGUGGCCUCAGUGAGAACAGGGCUUGUGGUCUGCUGAGUGUGAGAGUGUGGCCUCAGUGAGAACAGGGCUUGCUGCUGUCGGCUCCCAUUUAGGGCAGGGUCUGCCAUCAGAGCUACUGCUGCAGCCUUGUCCUUCUCCAGGGUCUCCAGGACUGGGUGAUGGCCUGACCGCUGCCUUCAGGGAUGAGCUAACUCUCUGGAUGCCUGGAACGUGGUGUGGAGGAGCCAUGCAGCUCCAAUACGAGUUCUGAAGGCACAAGUGCUAGUAGGGCCCAGGAAUACUGACAAAAGCCCAAGAGGCCAAAGGAAAGCUUCUGGACCAAAUGACACCUCUGGGCCAGGGUCGACAUUGUGGAGGAAGGAUUCAAGUGAGUGAUGGUGAUGAGAGGGGCUGAACCUGGGAAGAGGCUGGAUGUAUUGCAGAAAGAAGAAGAGGGAGAAGGGGCUUCUUAUUCACUCAUUCAUUCAACAAACAUUUAGUAAGCACCUGCUAUGUGCCCUAUGCCCCAAGUGGCCAAAUGCCUUUUCUCAAAACCUGAGUGGGAUGGGGCUGGGAUUCUUUUCCCUGGAGCCUAGAUGCCAGCAUGGCACAGGCUAGGCCACUUGCUGGCAGGGAAGGAGGAAGGAGGAAGGCCAUUUAGGAUUCAGCCGUAAACAAGACAGACAAAAAUCUCUGCCCUCAUAGAGCUGACAUUAUCGUUAGGAGAGACACACAAGAUAAAUAAGUAAAAUAUAUGUUAGACGGUGAUAAGUGGUAGGGAGGAAAAAUAAGGCAGGGAAAGAAGGGAUAGGAAGAGUGUAGGUGAUGCUGAGAUUUUAGGAGGGGCGACCAAGGGGACCUGGUUUAGAAAGAGCAUGAAAAAGACCUGAAGAAAGCGAGGGAGUGAACUGUGCGGCUCUGUGAGGGAAGAACACUCCCGGCCAGGAAAUAGCAGGUGAAAAGGCUGGGGGGCGGGGGGCACAUGCCUGGUGGGUGUGAGGCUGGGCUGGCUGGAGCUGCGUGAGGAAGAGGAGAGCAGUGGGAAGUAGGGCCGAGGUUAAGAGAGCUGGACGUAUAGGACCUUCUCGGUCACAGGAACGACUCUAUUGGGAGCCAGACGAGUGACAGAUCUGCCUUAGAUGUUAACAGGAUUUUUAACAUCUUAACAUUUUGACUGCUCUGUUGAGAAUAGGCUGUAGGGGGCAGGGGCAGAAGCAGGGAGAACAGUAGGAGGAGGCCACUGCAAUAAUCCCGAUGUUUUAUUUCUCACUGUGCCCCCAGCACGUGGCAUGUUUCCUGGCACAGAGCAGACACUCAACAAAUGCUUACUGAAUGACGUGUGAAUUAGCGAUGCCCAAAUACUGGUUCUCAGACUGGUGCCGUGUAGGCUAUAUGGAAAAAGUGUAGACAAACAGAUACCAGGCACUGUUGCUGGGGAUCCUGAUCCAGUAGGUUUCUGAUGGCAAAGAGGAAUUUGGCUUUUCAGUACAGUCUGCAGGUAAUUCUGGGCAGCAGGGUUGGCCUUCUGUGUCAGCUAGGAAUGCUUUUGGCUGCAGGGAACAGAGAACAACCAGCAAUGGCUUAAACAAGAGGGUUUUAUUUUUAUUUACAAGAAUUCUGGAGGAGGAUGGCUGCUGGCAUUGGCUUGGUCAGGUGAUGACAGGUCAAUGUUUCUAAAAUUCUCUUGGCCAUUUUCUCAUUGUAGCAAGAUGGCUGCUGUGGCUCCAGGCAUCCCAUCAUCAAGGUAGGAAGAAGGGAGGAGCAGGGAGUUGUUACCCAGUCUGUCUCUUUUAUCAGAAAAACAUAAGCUUUCCUAGGAGCCCCUGCAGACUUUGUCUUAAAUUUCACUGGCCAUACCUGGUCACAUGGUCACCCCAAGCUGUAAAGGAGGCUGUAACAGUGAGACUCUGUAUUUACAGCCUCUACAAUGGGAGAUGGCUGGAGAGAAGGAGUUGGGGCUGACCACUGGGGAGUGAUCAAGGGUGUCUGCCAUGGCUCCAUGGACGACAUGGUACUUGAGUUUCCUUCUACUUCUGGGGCUUUGUCUCCAUGAUUUGCCACCUCUGUGGAGCACCUAUGGGGCCCCACAGAGUGAAAUCCCAAGCAUUCCCUUGGAGGGGCCUACUUCAUCCUAGAUACUCAGUCUUGCUUUUCCUUUCUGAACAACACACAGGGGACAGCUGCUUUGGGGAAGGGGUGGUCUUUAUUUAGGGACUGUGCAUUUUUAGCAUUCUCUCACCUGGCAGACAUUUAAAACAGUAUUACCAUCUUCUCACUAAGACUGUCACAUUUGAGAGACUUUUAGAGCCGCCGCCCCCCCACAGGAAAAGGAUGAUGUCUUUAGUCCCUCUCCAGCCACCCAGUUAGGCCUAAGACCAGGAUGAUCCCUUUCCUCCCACCUUUGGUCCAAGUAUCAAAGGGCAUCCCAGCGGUAGCUCUUUCUGGUAGCUCUGUGCCAGUCUUGGGGUGUGAAAGGAAAUGCUUUUCUGGCACUGCCCUGCUACCUUGAAUGAUGGGUUUACAAAGCCAGAGGCAGGGACUUCAGGGGAAAAAGAAA